This 464-nucleotide ribosomal RNA is filed under the name uncultured marine group I thaumarchaeote. RNAcentral describes it as "bacterial SSU rRNA". It matches the Rfam family "Archaeal small subunit ribosomal RNA", at positions 428 to 891 of the family's 1478-position model. Lineage: Archaea; Thermoproteati; Nitrososphaerota. The record is from RNAcentral.
CUAACGAAUAAGGGGUGGGCAAGUUCUGGUGUCAGCCGCCGCGGUAAAACCAGCACCUCAAGUGGUCAGGAUGAUUAUUGGGCCUAAAGCAUCCGUAGCCGGCUCUGUAAGUUUUCGGUUAAAUCUGUACGCUCAACGUACAGGCUGCCGGGAAUACUGCAGAGCUAGGGAGUGGGAGAGGUAGACGGUACUCGGGAGGAAGUGGUAAAAUGCUUUGACCUCUCGAUGACCACCUGUGGCGAAGGCGGUCUACCAGAACACGUCCGACGGUGAGGGAUGAAAGCUGGGGGAGCAAACCGGAUUAGAUACCCGGGUAGUCCCAGCUGUAAACUAUGCAAACUCAGUGAUGCAUUGGCUUGUGGCCAAUGCAGUAUUGCAGGGAAGCCGUUAAGUUUGCCGCCUGGGAAGUACGUACGCAAGUAUGAAACUUAAAGGAGUUGGCGGGGGAGCACCACAACGGGUGA